This 444-nucleotide ribosomal RNA is filed under the name uncultured bacterium. Its description in RNAcentral is "SSU rRNA". It matches the Rfam family "Bacterial small subunit ribosomal RNA", at positions 26 to 518 of the family's 1533-position model. The record is from RNAcentral.
AGAGCGAACGCUGGCGGCAGGCUUAACACAUGCAAGUCGAGCGCCCCGCAAGGGGAGCGGCAGACGGGAGAGUAACACGUGGGAACGUACCUUUCGGUUCGGAACAACCCAGGGAAACUUGGGCUAAUACCGGAUACGCCCGCAAGGGGAAAGAUUUAUCGCCGGAAGAUCGGCCCGCGUCUGAUUAGCUAGUUGGUGAGGUAACGGCUCACCAAGGCGACGAUCAGUAGCUGGUCUGAGAGGAUGAUCAGCCUCACUGGGACUGAGACACGGCCCAGACUCCUACGGGAGGCAGCAGUGGGGAAUAUUGGACAAUGGGCGCAAGCCUGAUCCAGCCAUGCCGCGUGGGUGAUGAAGGCCCUAGGGUUGUAAAGCCCUUUCGGGCGGGAAGAUAAUGACGGUACCCGCAGAAGAAGCCCCGGCUAACUUCGUGCCAGCAGCCGC